GAUGAACGCUGGCGGCGUGCCUAAUACAUGCGAGUCGAGCGAACAGACGAGGAGCUUGCUCCUCUGACGUUAGCGGCGGACGGGUGAGUAACACGUGGAUAACCUACCUAUAAGACUGGGAUAACUUCGGGAAACCGGAGCUAAUACCGGAUAACAUAUUGAACCGCAUGGUUCAAUAGUGAAAGACGGUCUUGCUGUCACUUAUAGAUGGAUCCGCGUCGCAUUAGCUAGUUGGUAAGGUAACGGCUUACCAAGGCAACGAUGCGUAGCCGACCUGAGAGGGUGAUCGGCCACACUGGAACUGAGACACGGUCCAGACUCCUACGGGAGGCAGCAGUAGGGAAUCUUCCGCAAUGGGCGAAAGCCUGACGGAGCAACGCCGCGUGAGUGAUGAAGGUCUUCGGAUCGUAAAACUCUGUUAUUAGGGAAGAACAAAUGUGUAAGUAACUAUGCACGUCUUGACGGUACCUAAUCAGAAAGCCACGGCUAACUACGUG
This 497-nucleotide ribosomal RNA is filed under the name uncultured bacterium. RNAcentral describes it as "partial 16S ribosomal RNA". It matches the Rfam family "Bacterial small subunit ribosomal RNA", at positions 28 to 507 of the family's 1533-position model. The record is from RNAcentral.